This 564-nucleotide ribosomal RNA is filed under the name Streptomyces sp. 418E01. Its description in RNAcentral is "bacterial SSU rRNA". It matches the Rfam family "Bacterial small subunit ribosomal RNA", at positions 93 to 671 of the family's 1533-position model. The record is from RNAcentral. RNAcentral also lists the same sequence under 1 other name. Lineage: Bacteria; Bacillati; Actinomycetota; Actinomycetes; Kitasatosporales; Streptomycetaceae.
UAGUGGCGAACGGGUGAGUAACACGUGGGCAAUCUGCCCUGCACUCUGGGACAAGCCCUGGAAACGGGGUCUAAUACCGGAUACGAGUUUCACAGGCAUCUGUGAUUCUGGAAAGCUCCGGCGGUGCAGGAUGAGCCCGCGGCCUAUCAGCUUGUUGGUGAGGUAACGGCUCACCAAGGCGACGACGGGUAGCCGGCCUGAGAGGGCGACCGGCCACACUGGGACUGAGACACGGCCCAGACUCCUACGGGAGGCAGCAGUGGGGAAUAUUGCACAAUGGGCGAAAGCCUGAUGCAGCGACGCCGCGUGAGGGAUGACGGCCUUCGGGUUGUAAACCUCUUUCAGCAGGGAAGAAGCGAGAGUGACGGUACCUGCAGAAGAAGCGCCGGCUAACUACGUGCCAGCAGCCGCGGUAAUACGUAGGGCGCAAGCGUUGUCCGGAAUUAUUGGGCGUAAAGAGCUCGUAGGCGGCUUGUCGCGUCGGUUGUGAAAGCCCGGGGCUUAACCCCGGGUCUGCAGUCGAUACGGGCAGGCUAGAGUUCGGUAGGGGAGAUCGGAAUUNCU